GACAGAGGUGCCAAGCGUUAGGCGGAAUCACUGGGCUUAAAGCGUGUGUAGGCGGAUGUCUAAGUACCUUGUGAAAUCCCACGGCUCAACCGUGGAACUGCUUGGUAUACUGGAUGCCUUGAGCCAUCUAGGGGCUACCGGAACAAAUGGUGGAGCGGUGAAAUGCGUAGAUAUCAUUUGGAACGCCAAUGGUGAAAACAGGUAGCUGGGGAUGUGCUGACGCUGAGACACGAAAGCCAGGGGAGCAAACGGG
This 253-nucleotide ribosomal RNA is filed under the name uncultured bacterium. RNAcentral's name for it is "partial 16S ribosomal RNA". It matches the Rfam family "Bacterial small subunit ribosomal RNA", at positions 524 to 776 of the family's 1533-position model. The record is from RNAcentral.